This 441-nucleotide ribosomal RNA is filed under the name uncultured bacterium. RNAcentral's name for it is "bacterial SSU rRNA". It matches the Rfam family "Bacterial small subunit ribosomal RNA", at positions 29 to 524 of the family's 1533-position model. The record is from RNAcentral.
AACGAACGCUGGCGGCAGGCCUAACACAUGCAAGUCGAGCGCACCCUUCGGGGCGAGCGGCGGACGGGUUAGUAACGCGUGGGAAUGUACCCUUCUCUACGGAAUAGCCAUUGGAAACGAUGAGUAAUACCGUAUACGCCUCGGGGAAGAUUAUCGAGAAGGAUCAGCCGCGUUAGAUUAGAUAGUUGGUGGGGUAAGUGGCCUACCAAGUCUACGAUCUAUAGCUGGUUUUAGAGGAUGAUCAGCAACACUGGGACUGAGACACGGCCCAGACUCCUACGGGAGGCAGCAGUGGGAAUCUUAGACAAUGGGCGCAAGCCUGAUCUAGCCAUGCCGCGUGAGUGAUGAAGGCCUUAGGGUCGUAAAGCUCUUUCGCCAGGGAUGAUAAUGACAGUACCUGGUAAAGAAACCCGCUAACUCCGUGCCAGCAGCCGCGGUAAU